GCAGACAAUCUGUGGAAGAAGACCAUUCAAGAGGGAGAGAAUGGGAUUCCUGCUGUCAUGUAAGAAAAGCUGGCUACUGUGUUGGGAUCCUGCUGGCAUCUGUCUUGGGCAUUUUCUCCAAAUCAGUGGAGCUGAGGUGCAUUUGGUCAUCUGCACCUCUGUGUGGCUGGAGAGGCCCUUCAGAGAGAUGCAAGGACAGGAGUUGUGCUGCGUCCAUGGAGACUGA
This 226-nucleotide long non-coding RNA is filed under the name Oryctolagus cuniculus (rabbit). Its description in RNAcentral is "lncRNA (ENSOCUG00000031885.1)". The record is from RNAcentral. Lineage: Eukaryota; Metazoa; Chordata; Mammalia; Lagomorpha; Leporidae.